Long non-coding RNA from Periophthalmus magnuspinnatus, 822 nucleotides. RefSeq lists it as uncharacterized. Lineage: Eukaryota; Metazoa; Chordata; Actinopteri; Gobiiformes; Gobiidae. The transcript is spliced from 3 exons. The record is from RefSeq and is a predicted model, not a curated record.
AGGUGAGCGCGAGCGUGAGCGUGGGAGCUGGAGGAGACGUCUCUGUUGGCGUGAAAGGUGUGUCAUGUUACACCGCAUUAACGCGAGGACCCGGGAUCACACAGAUGCCUGACUUGUCUGUGUGCAUUAAACCCAUUCAUUAACCCUGCAGCACUGAUAACAGAAACAGCUGCCUCUUUGUGUGGAAGCCAGGGGUCUUUAUGUGAGACUGGGAGCUGAUCCAUUUAUCACGAAGCAUGGCAGUGCAGGAGUUGACCCCAGCAUCUGUGUCCGCUCUGCUGUACACCGUCGUGUCUCUGCUCUCACUGGGCUUACUGCUGCUCAUGUGCCUGAUCAGGAAGAAAAGGAGGAUGGAGGGAACGUAUCGGCCCAGCGCAGAAGAGCGGAAACAGACGGGACCAAACUGUCCUGAAAAACCUGGGCUACCUCUACCACUGCCUAAAGAGGAAAGACUCAUUUAACCUCUACCCUUCUACUUUGACUCUUCAAAUGUAUUAAGUAUAUUUAUGGGUACUCACUCCCCAAUGAUGGAUUUCACUGGAUUGGAUGAAGUGCCUUCUUCCACUGCACUCAGUUUGAUGUAUAUGUUUUGUGUUGUAUAGACGUUUGUUCACAAUAAUGUUUUUUUUAUAUUGUUUAGAGUAUUUCACUAUGUGCCAAUAUGAAGGAUUACGACUGUGAAGCACCUUUUUAUACAUAGAUUAGAUGAAAAACUAUUUUGCAUGUUACAUAAAUAAUAGAUUUAUUGAGUAUUUACAUGUGAGAUUUCUUGAUAUUGGUUGAGGAGAAAUUAAGUUGACCAUAAUGAUUUUGGUCCAAGUA